UUUGAAGAGGAAUUUACAAGCAUGAUAUUUGCAGCCAGGUCUGCAGAAAGCAUGAGACAAAUGCAUAAGGUGCACUAAGAAAACAUUUUGUCAUGUAAUUUUUAAACCAUGUAUUUUUUCUGCAAUGGGAAAGGCAUAUGCAAAGCCUGCAAAUCUUCUGCCUCACAGUGGGUAAGUGACAUCAUCCAUAAAACUGGUACCAUGUAAUAAACUGGUACCAUGGUGAGGACUAAAUACUAAUAAGGUAGUAGGCUUUUCAGAUUAAAAUAACUACAGCAUAGCAAAGCAUCCUUAUCUAUUAUUAAUAUAAUGCCAAUUGUAACCAUCUCCUACUCAUCUUCCCUCUGAAUUGCUAUAACCACCCUGCUUCAACUAAGCAAUACUUGUAAGACACUCAGCAGAAAUAUUCAGAAUAUGGAUUCCUCUUUUUCUCCUCUGUCACCCUUUAAAAAGGAUUCACCUCAUUAAAAUGUGCUUUAGAAGUCACGAGCACCACGGCUUUGACUAUCAGGACAGCAAAUGUCUUGGAGCACCGAUUUGACGGUCCCCUUGGAACGUUGGCAAUGUCCGGUAGAUGGCAGCAAACAGCACUCCAGGGAGCUGGAGCACCUCGAGGUGACAGCCUGAGAGCUGCUCCAGCGGCCCCAGUGCUGGCAAUUAUAUGGGGUUUUAUCUUCUACCCUGAAUGAAAUAAGCUCAUUUAUUUGGUUCCUUGCAGGGAGGCAGCGAGAACAAAGCCGCAGGGGACCUUCACAAUGCUGCACUCAACCGAUGAGUGACAUGGUGCCCUGGCCCAACUGGAAAGGGAGUGGGGCAGUGCGGGGACAGGAGCACACGCCCGCAGGUGUGGAGACAGAAGGGCUUUGUUAGCAGGCUCUGCUGCCAAAGGACAAGUCAUGUCACACUGAAGCCAUUUUCCAGGAUAUAGAUCCUGAAAAAUGAGUCAACUGGAGCUGGAAGAGAGCUCACACAGAAGAUGUAAUGUUGGGGGAGUGUGGAGGGAGAAAGUGCUAUUUGUAGUUUGGUGUUGAAGACUCCAAAGAACAGAAGGGACGGUGCUGUGAUUUCUCCCUUUUCCACACAGCAUGAAAUGGAUCAACUGCAUAGAUUCAGUUGCUCUCCAGCAUUAGAAAAGACUUUGCAGACAACCUGCACCUACUUCUUAAUAUAAACAAAGUUAGCGUGCCUCUGGGGAAGCUGUCAAUAGCAGUGACAUGUUUUUAAUUGGAUUUUUUUCAUAUCUUGCUUUUUGACUAUACUACUCCAUUACAUCUGUAUGCAGAAUCUUUCAGAUUCUCACAUCAGGCUUUUAGCUUCAAACUGUAGUGCUUCUCAAAUCUGAAAGGUCUCCCUCCAGCAUGCCAGCACUUACCAUGACACCCCAAUGCCUGUUAUCAAAUGCAUGUUAGGAUACACCAUCUUAGAGCAUACAAACAUUCUGCAUGUCAUCCAGUGAGCAAGAAUGUAUUAUUACACAAUUAGUUCAUUAAAAUUAUAUUUAAAUGAUGCAUAUAUAUGUGUGCAUGUUUUUAUUAUUGAAAAUUAUAUUUUAUGUAGGCCAAGUCAAAUGAUAGCUGAUAUAAAGAAAAUAAGGUAAUCUCAA
This is a long non-coding RNA of Pezoporus flaviventris, 1603 nucleotides long. RefSeq lists it as uncharacterized. Lineage: Eukaryota; Metazoa; Chordata; Aves; Psittaciformes; Psittacidae. The record is from RefSeq and is a predicted model, not a curated record. The transcript is spliced from 2 exons.